Molecule: long non-coding RNA, 4259 nt
Organism: Melanotaenia boesemani (Boeseman's rainbowfish)
Lineage: Eukaryota; Metazoa; Chordata; Actinopteri; Atheriniformes; Melanotaeniidae
Exons: 2
Source: RefSeq, a predicted model, not a curated record
GGCUACUGUAAACAUCCUUGACUGGAAGCUGGUGUUAGGUUUUUGGGCUUUCAGUCGGAUGUUUGCAGCAGCCAACUGCUAUUCCCAUCGCUGCACUUCCCAGGCUCCAGUGUUAUUUCUGCACACAACUACUCCCGUCGUUCUGGACCAGAUGAUGUGGAAGUAUUCUGUAAAGGCUGGUGUGCAGAGAAAGAUUCAUGCUGGAUUUUACAUGAUACUGGACCUUGUGGGAAUAAACGCCCACAUCAUUAAGAAGUGGACUCAACACUGUUGCAUGUGCACCUGGAAAAAAAAUAAUAUUUACACUGUAAUGCCAAUCUACACUAGUUACUACAAAGGCUAAAACAACUAUUUAGAAGUCGCAGCCAGAGCAGCUCAGACCUGCUGCAUGGCUUUGCCUCACGUGCUGCUGGUGUUGGAGUUUUUGUCUUUUUUUCCCCCAGUUUUUGCUGCAACCCACUUCUAGACUUCAUAGAAUUAAACAAAAAAAUCUCCUCUGCUCUCUGCAUUGUGCAUGGCCCAGUGCACACACAGAAAGCAUGUCGCAGUCCCCAACUGUUUCACCCCCAAUCUAAUUGACUACAGCCUACUAGAUUUUCCAUGAAGCACAUAUACAGUACACACCUGUGGCUACAGGUGAGCUAACGGCUAAUCUAACAAGCUGCUAACAGCCUCUAGACAGAUACAGCAGGAAUAUUUUCACCAGAAGGAGGAAAACUCACAGCUGGUCAGUGAUGAACUCGCCGACAUCCACAGAAAGCAGGACGUUAGUUAGUAAAUUAAUAGAAACUGCACAUCAGGAAGUCCUACAGAGAGUACUCGAACCCACUCACGUAAGAAACACAGAGCAGAGAUUAGGCUGCGUACUCCUCCAUAGGUGUACGCAGGUGUACCUGUAUAGGUCUGUCCUUAUACAUUAGAGGUUUGUCAGUGAGAUGUAACGAUGCUCUGGAUCACCUCUUCCAACAACAGACACACAUUUCUGUUAUUUGUAGUCAGUGAGCUGACCGGCACCUGUCGGCAUUGAUAAGCCCAGUGGCACAUGAUUUCAGUGCUUUGGAAAAUUAAGAACCGGUUCCUUAGUGGAACCGGGUUUCAAUUCCCAUCCCUAGUUAUGAGCAUGAACUCUUCCAGUAUUGAAGUAUUAUAGAGUCAGGUCAUACAUCCAGGUCAUUCAGAAGGACUUUGAUCCCAAAUGCACCUGCCAGUCUGCAACAGAAAAAGAGAGGACGUGACUUUGUGUAAUGUUCCAGUCAAAGUACAAACCUCAACCCAACUGCAGUGGGACUUAAGAGGGCUGUGAAUAAUACACACAGGCUCAAUGAUCUGAAGCAACAUUGCAGAAAAAAGAAAAGAAAAAAGAAAAAAAAAAGGUCUAAAUUCCUCCCACAAUGUCAGAGACGGAUAAUAUCAAACAGAAAACUAUUCAAGUUAUUGCUGCUAAAGGUGGUUGUACAAGCUUAGAGUAAAUGUGAUUCUUUCUCAUUGUAGAAGAAAAUACAUUUCAGAUUCCAGGUAUUGGAUCAUGAGUUAUUUGAGGUUUUCCACUCUCCUUUUCUGGAUUUUGGAUUAGUUUGAUUAAAAAAAUCUUUAGUAAAAUGUUUAUGGAUAUAUAUAUUUUUUAAUCUGGGGUUGUUUGUAUCCAGUUUGAAGUUCUUUAAAUGCCAGACAAUUUUAAUUUACAGUAUGUCCUGAUACAUGAAGCCUUAGGGCAGGAAUAUACAUGUUUUUAAUUAUGUAAAUGCUUGUUUUCAUGCUGCCUCGUGUGUGUUGUAUUUCUUUGUUGUGUGGUUUGUUCAUGUCUUCAGAUGCGUUUGCAAGCUGCAAUAUGUGAGUUACCAGUAGGGGCAGCAUAGGGACCAGUGUGACCAGAUAUAAGGUCACAGCUGAGACAUCCUUGGAUAUUUAGGAUUUGUCUCAGUGCUUCACAACUUAUAAAAUUGUCACGUUUGACAUCAGUUCAGUUCUUCAGCUCCACUCCAGCAAGACUUCUUUUCUGUGUAUACUGUAAAGAUGAUUUUUAAUGCAAAGGGAAUUUGUAGCACUCUGAAACAGCUGGUCGUGACAGUUGUUUCCAUUCAGUUCCCAGUGGGAGCAGCUUCAUCCUCUCCUGGGACAUGAGUAUAAAAGAGGAGGGGAAGGGAUCGAGGGGAAAGGGGAAAUGUAGAGAAGAGUGGAAUGGGAGGAGUGAGGGGAGAGAGGGGAGGAGAAAGGAGGUGAAAACUGCAUAGUUUGGUCCUCUCCCACACUCGGUGAGUGCUAAGAGGAAGUGGGUGUAACAAAUACCACAGGGCCACAGACGGGGAAAGAAAGAAGGAAGGAAGAAAGGAAGGAAGGGAGGAAGGAAGGAAGCAUUGUGAUAAUUAAACCCACCCCAACAUUCAUCAAAUGAAAGCAUACUUAGUGACCUGAAAAGAAGCUCAAUGAAGCUUCUUCACAUGGAGAUUCACAGAUGAUCUAACCUGCUUUUAGAGGAUGCUUUAUCCGCUAUUUGUUUUUUUGGGAGGAAAAAUAAAAGAGAAGUUGUGUCUUUCAGAGAAAUCUAGCAUGAGGAAAAGAAACAUAAAUUUAGUUUUUCGUGGGAAGUGUUGGUCAGUCAAUCUUAAAAAGUCAUGAGUAGUUUGACAAAAGUUAUCAAAAGACAUUUUAACAACAAACAAACUAAGGUUGAAAAUAUGAGUGUUUAUCAUGGCUGCAAUCUGAUAUUAUGAGUUGGUUUGAAGCGUGGUUUGUUCCACUGUAUGGUUGUUAUUAUUAUUAUUAUUAUGAUGAUGUAAUGCUCAAAAUCUUUGUGUUCUUUUUUACGUUUGUAAGAAUGCUUAUUAUAACUAUAUUUUCUAUAUAAUGGUGCUUUCACUGCUUGCAUAUUUAAAUAAUUAAAAUAAGUGCACAGUUUAUUACUGUCAUGGGUUCUAUUCCAGUGUUUUACAAAGAGAUAUAAAUAACACGGUGUGCCGUUCUUGUUUUCUUUUUACAUUCCUUGAGAUUUUGGAGUAUAUCUAUCCUGAUUUAUGUUUCAUAUAUUGUUUAAUGUGGGAUUUCUCAGUAUACAGAUCACACUUAAGAAGAAGUACUGUCUAAAUUCCAUCAUCAACUAUCUAAAUCUAACUUUUAUUGAGUAUAUAGUGAAUGUGUGGGCAAAGAAGUGGACAUUAACUGGUUUAACCUCUGACUUACAGGAAGUGUAAACAUCCUACACUCUCGGCGUAUGCCUCCUAGUGGCCGGGAGUGGGACUGUUUGCACUGCCUGACUCAGGAACUCCACUCGCCACUGAGGAAAUCUGCAUCACAUUUUUAAACACAAACUUCUAUGUUUAAUGGACUUUUUUUAACAUUAUGAUAAAUUAUUCCUGGAAGUUGUGGUUAAUAAAAACGUAAUCAGCCUGGUUUUACCUCAGGAAACUUCAUGUUUUGAUGCUUCAGAAAUCAGCUGGACCACACACAGAUGAGUCAACCACAUUACUACAAGCCUGCGGCUCAGAUUUUUUUUCAUUUGUGAAACAUGCUAUUCUUCCAGUGGCAGUAAAUUGUGUUAAAUUUAACUUUUGUAAGGGCCCAUCACCCCGUGUGAAUAAGCGAUUGAAGUUUGAACUAAAAGAUUUGUGCUAUUCCUCUUGACAUCCUGAGCUGGGCUGCUGGGGAAUGUUUGCCAUUCAGGACAGGAAACGGGGAGCGGCUGAUUUCUGAUUGGCUAGUUUUCCCGACCCGACGACCUCGGUCAUGGAUGUCCCACUGGGGCUGGGACACACACAUAUACACUCUUCAGAGCAUGUGAACCCAGAAUCCAGACAGUAGUGGUGCAGGGUAGGAGGGAAAGUGGAAAAUAAUGAUGAAAAAUAAGCAAUAAAUAUUUUAUGUAUUUAUUUAUUUUCUCUUUGCGUGGAAAACAAACUUACAUGAAAGUGUUUGGUGUAUUUUGCCCUGAAAGCUGAAAAUCUUUAAUAAAAUAAAACCCCCCGAAGCAUUAGAGGAAGAAUUAAUGGGUGUUGUCUGUGUGUGCAUUUAAAAGUGUGCAGAUUAUACACAAUCGAAAGAUGUAUUUAUACCCAACACAUUUAUGCAUCAGUUAUAAAUAGAGGAGCUGGCUGUUAAAGAGGAACUACUACUCUACAUGUGAUAUCUAGGUGAUGUAUUUACUCCUAUCAGGACAACCCAUGUAAAAAUGUUACAAAUUGGCUUUAAAUAACAGGAUGUAUUUUCUGCUAAGCAUAUGUAAAACUUUCUUAAAUGUGCACUUUGGAAUAAACUGUUGAUCAGCA